GACGAACGCUGGCGGCGUGCUUAACACAUGCAAGUCGAACGGAAAGGCCCUGCUGUUGUGGGGUGCUCGAGUGGCGAACGGGUGAGUAACACGUGAGUAACCUGCCCUUGACUUUGGGAUAACUUCAGGAAACUGGGGCUAAUACCGGAUAGGAGCUCCUGCUGCAUGGUGGGGGUUGGAAAGUUUCGGCGGUUGGGGAGGGACUCGCGGCUUAUCAGCUUGUUGGUGGGGUAGUGGCUUACCAAGGCUUUGACGGGUAGCCGGCCUGAGAGGGUGGCCGGCCACAGUGAGACUGAGAUACGGCCCGGACUCCUACGGGAGGCAGCAGUGGGGAAUAUUGCACAAUGGGCGGAAGCCUGAUGCGGCAACGCCGCGUGCUGGAUGACGGCCUUCGGGUUGUAAGCCGCUUUCGCCUGUGACGAAGCGUGAGUGACGGUAAUGGGUAAAGAAGCACCGGCUAACUACGUG
RNAcentral lists this ribosomal RNA (468 nucleotides) under uncultured bacterium. RNAcentral describes it as "partial 16S ribosomal RNA". It matches the Rfam family "Bacterial small subunit ribosomal RNA", at positions 28 to 507 of the family's 1533-position model. The record is from RNAcentral.